Molecule: ribosomal RNA, 370 nt
Filed under: uncultured organism
Description: partial 16S ribosomal RNA
Rfam family: Bacterial small subunit ribosomal RNA
Source: RNAcentral
AGAGGGUGCAAGCGUUAAUCGGAAUUACUGGGCGUAAAGCGCACGUAGGUGGAUAUUUAAGUUGGCUGUGAAAUUCCCGGGCUUAACCUGGGCCGGUCAGCCAAAACUGGGUAUCUAGAGUACAGUAGAGGGAAGUGGAAUUUCCGGUGUAGCGGUGAAAUGCGUAGAUAUCGGAAGGAACAUCAGUGGCGAAGGCGACUUUCUGGACUGAUACUGACACUGAGGUGCGAAAGCGUGGGUAGCGAACAGGAUUAGAUACCCUGGUAGUCCACGCUGUAAACGAUGAGAACUAGCUGUUGGUGAUAUAAAAAUCAUUAGUGGCGCAGCUAACGCGUUAAGUUCUCCGCCUGGGGAUACGACCGCAAGGUUA